UUUAAGCAGCUUGAACAAAACCUGUUAAUAUUUAUUAUAGACCACUGUAACUGUCUAUUAUCUAAAAAAAAAACAAAUUUAUUAUGAAAAUAAAAGUGUGUACACCAGUUAAACUGGACGAUAAAGAAAUUGCUAACAAUAGUUUAAUAGAGCAUGUUUUAGGUUUAUAGGUGUUUAGAUGCAGAAAUUUAAUUUAAUUAAAUAUAGAUUAAUUCUUGUAAGAGCAAAAAAAUAAAUAAAUAAUAAUAAUAAUAAUAAAUACAUGAAUACAUACAAAAAAAGCAGCCAAGACGAAUGAUUUUCUGUUUUUAUAGAUUAAAAUUAAAGACAGAAAGCAGCUGGUAAAUGCAGUCACUUUAAUAUUCAAAUCCAGUAUCAUGAUACACUUCAGAUUUAUUUCUCAACUGUUUAUGUUUACGUGACUGUUUUCGUUUAUAUUCGCCAAGCUAUUAUGUAUUUUUGAAAUAACCUUGUUCUUGAUUUGUUCGUUCUUGCCAGAAUCAGCGUCCUCUGGAGCUCGAGAGAUCGAUGUUAUUCUGCCCUUAGACAGUCUCGCGCUGUCAAAUAGUCUUUCAAUUUUCACAAUCAAACAGCGCACAAAUACCCGAAUUUAGCUCUUGUUGUGUUCUAAUGGGUGGAUUGUGUGCAUUCGCAGUAAUAUUUUAUUUUAAAAAGCUCUUAAAACUAUAAAAAUGCUUUUUAUUGUGAGCUCGUGAGACUGCACGCGCUGAUGCAGCGGUGAUUUCUCUCUGGUCUUUCUCACUGUUCUGGCCAGACAUCAAUUAUUAAUGAGAUCUGACCCGGUAUUUGUGAGCUGUUUGAUUGUGAAAAUUGAAAGACUAUUUGACAGCGCGAGACUGUCUAAGGGCAGAAUAACAUCGAUCUCUCGAGCUCCAGAGGACGCUGAUUCUGGCAAGAACGAACAAAUCAAGAACAAGGUUAUUUCAAAAAUACAUAAUAGCUUGGCGAAUAUAAACGAAAACAGUCACGUGAACAUAAACAGUUGAGAAAUAAAUCUGAAGUGUAUCAUGAUACUGGAUUUGAAUAUUAAAGUGACUGCAUUUACCAGCUGCUUUCUGUCUUUAAUUUUAAUCUAUAAAAACAGAAAAUCAUUCGUCUUGGCUGCUUUUUUUGUAUGUAUUCAUGUAUUUAUUAUUAUUAUUAUUAUUAUUUUUUUUUGCUCUAACAAGAAUGAAUCUAUAUUUAAUUAAAUUAAAUUUCUGCAUCUAAACACCUAUAAACCUAAAACAUGCUCUAUUAAACUAUUGUUAGCAAUUUCUUUAUCGUCCAGUUUAACUGGUGUACACACUUUUAUUUUUCAUAAUAAAUUUGUUUUUAGAUAAUAGACAGUUACAGUGGUCUAUAAUAA
This is a long non-coding RNA of Cyprinus carpio carpio, 1369 nucleotides long. Lineage: Eukaryota; Metazoa; Chordata; Actinopteri; Cypriniformes; Cyprinidae. The record is from Ensembl.